UACAGAGGUCCCAAGCGUUGUUCGGAUUCACUGGGCGUACAGGGUGCGUAGGCGGUCGGGUAAGUCUGAUGUGAAAUCUCACAGCUUAACUGUGAAACUGCAUUGGAUACUAUCCGGCUCGAGGAAUGGAGGGGAGACUGGAAUACUUGGUGUAGCAGUGAAAUGCGUAGAUAUCAAGUGGAACACCAGGGGCGAAGGCGAGUCUCUGGACAUUUCCUGACGCUGAGGCACGAAAGCCAGGGGAGCAAACGGG
This 253-nucleotide ribosomal RNA is filed under the name uncultured bacterium. Its description in RNAcentral is "partial 16S ribosomal RNA". It matches the Rfam family "Bacterial small subunit ribosomal RNA", at positions 524 to 776 of the family's 1533-position model. The record is from RNAcentral.